UUUGACAAAAGAUGUUCGACUGGCCCCACCCUUCACUACAUGUGGCUACAGUCACUUGAUGACUUUUAAAUCAAUUGAUUAACCUUCUUUCUCUGUAGCAAUGUGCAAGGGAAAAACCUCAAUGGAGCGACCCCAGAUAUUUUCAAGAAGUGGCAAGAUCUUCAUAUCAUGUAAAACUCAGUAAUAUGUUUUACAAAGUUUAAUAAAAUAAUUCUACUUCCUUUUCUCCUGAUGCAGGGACUUGAGUUUCAAUAGUUUGUUUGGUGCAAUUCCAGAAGCUGCUAACAACUCGUUGAAUUAUAUAUUUCUAAGAAAAAAUAAUCUCGAUGAGACAAUUCCAGCUUGGAUGAAUGCCUCUUAAGUGAAUCUGUUCAAGUGCUGCUCUGAUGAAAUGGAUGAGUAAGCUCUUCCAUCUGUAUCUCCAAAGAAAUAAUUUGGUCUUGUAAGAAAAUUGGUUUGACUUUGAUACUUU
Molecule: long non-coding RNA, 472 nt
Organism: Capsicum annuum
Lineage: Eukaryota; Viridiplantae; Streptophyta; Magnoliopsida; Solanales; Solanaceae
Exons: 3
Source: RefSeq, a predicted model, not a curated record